Molecule: transfer RNA, 73 nt
Filed under: Johnsonella ignava
Lineage: Bacteria; Bacillati; Bacillota; Clostridia; Lachnospirales; Lachnospiraceae
Also listed under: 2 other names
Description: tRNA-Lys(ctt)
Rfam family: tRNA
About the family: Transfer RNA (tRNA) molecules are approximately 80 nucleotides in length. Their secondary structure includes four short double-helical elements and three loops (D, anti-codon, and T loops). Further hydrogen bonds mediate the characteristic L-shaped molecular structure. tRNAs have two regions of fundamental functional importance: the anti-codon, which is responsible for specific mRNA codon recognition, and the 3' end, to which the tRNAs corresponding amino acid is attached (by aminoacyl-tRNA synthetases). tRNAs cope with the degeneracy of the genetic code in two manners: having more than one tRNA (with a specific anti-codon) for a particular amino acid; and 'wobble' base-pairing, i.e. permitting non-standard base-pairing at the 3rd anti-codon position.
Source: RNAcentral
GCAUCUUUAGCUCAGUUGGUAGAGCAGUAGACUCUUAAUCUAUUUGUCCAGGGUUCGAGUCCCUGAAGAUGCA